Molecule: transfer RNA, 73 nt
Filed under: Patiria miniata (bat star)
Lineage: Eukaryota; Metazoa; Echinodermata; Asteroidea; Valvatida; Asterinidae
Description: tRNA-Ala
Rfam family: tRNA
About the family: Transfer RNA (tRNA) molecules are approximately 80 nucleotides in length. Their secondary structure includes four short double-helical elements and three loops (D, anti-codon, and T loops).
Source: Rfam by way of RNAcentral
GGCUGGGUAGCUCAGUUGGUAGAGCACCGGAAUUGCAAUCCAGAGGUCACAGGUUCGAACCUUGCUCCAGUCA